UAGCUGGUCUGAGAGGAUGACCAGCCACACUGGAACUGAGACACGGUCCAGACUCCUACGGGAGGCAGCAGUGGGGAAUAUUGCACAAUGGGCGCAAGCCUGAUGCAGCCAUGCCGCGUGUGUGAAGAAGGCCUUCGGGUUGUAAAGCACUUUCAGCGAGGAGGAAGGUGGUGAACUUAAUACGUUCAUCAAUUGACGUUACUCGCAGAAGAAGCACCGGCUAACUCCGUGCCAGCAGCCGCGGUAAUACGGAGGGUGCAAGCGUUAAUCGGAAUUACUGGGCGUAAAGCGCACGCAGGCGGUUUGUUAAGUCAGAUGUGAAAUCCCCGGGCUCAACCUGGGAACUGCAUUUGAAACUGGCAAGCUAGAGUCUCGUAGAGGGGGGGUAGAAUUCCAGGUGUAGCGGUGAAAUGCGUAGAGAUCUGGAGGAAUACCGGUGGCGAAGGCGGCCCCCUGGACGAAGACUGACGCUCAAGGUGCGAAAGCGUGG
Molecule: ribosomal RNA, 490 nt
Filed under: Serratia marcescens
Lineage: Bacteria; Pseudomonadati; Pseudomonadota; Gammaproteobacteria; Enterobacterales; Yersiniaceae
Description: bacterial SSU rRNA
Rfam family: Bacterial small subunit ribosomal RNA
Source: RNAcentral